This is a long non-coding RNA of Suricata suricatta (meerkat), 589 nucleotides long. RefSeq lists it as uncharacterized. NCBI's taxonomy places the organism in Eukaryota, Metazoa, Chordata, Mammalia, Carnivora, Herpestidae. The record is from RefSeq and is a predicted model, not a curated record. The transcript is spliced from 2 exons.
UGUUGGGGCUGUAGGGGGUCCUCAGGUUGCUCUGCAGUUCAGAGGGGCUAGGACGCGCAGGUGUUAAGAGUCCCUCUGAGAAAGGGAGGUGCUGACGCAGGGGCUUGAGUACUGGAAACCUUGCCAUCACCUCCUUCCCGCUGCUCUGCCCGGCCCCCGCCCGGAACUUCUAUUGGUUCGGUAGUUGGCGUUUGAUUCCUCCCACACCCACAAAACAAAAACGUUCUGCUCAUUUCUUCUCCAUUAGGCACAAUAAAGAGUACAGCUCUCCAACCGAAAGAGGAAAGAUCCCUGCCUGGAAAUCGGGGACCUUACCCGUUCUUGGGACUUCAGCCCAUUGUUCCAUUUCUCCCCUAGCUGAGUAGGCUGAACACCCAUCGUGGGGCCUGAACUCACACAACCAUGAGAUCAAGAGUCGAAUGCUCUACUGACUGAGCCAGCAGCCACCUCUCUUCAGAUGAUUCUACUGUGAGCUUGGGUUGAGGACUACUGCACUAAAUGAUUUGGAUCAUAUCUACCAUUUAUUUGGCAUCAAACCCUUUACAUUGAUGGCUGUUUUAUACACAGCAUAAAUAAUCGUCACAAGUGU